RNAcentral lists this long non-coding RNA (1345 nucleotides) under Equus caballus (horse). RNAcentral's name for it is "lncRNA (ENSECAG00000038651.2)". The record is from RNAcentral. Lineage: Eukaryota; Metazoa; Chordata; Mammalia; Perissodactyla; Equidae.
CGCCCCGCGCGCUCUCUCCCCGCCCCAUCCCAGCUCCCCGGGCCCCGCGGGCCCCUCCUCCUGCCCCCUCCCCGGCGCGUGAAUGGAGUGCCGGCCGCUUGCGCCCGGUCACGGGGACUCGACGUCACAAAGAGCGGAGUAAACAGGGCGCGCGGUGCUCGCCGGCGGGCCCAUUCAUAAAACCGAGGGCGAGAGGAAGAGGGAGGCGGCCUCCGCCCGGCAGGCGGGCUGCAGCGCCCGGACUUUGUGAAUGGAGCGGGCGGCGCCUCCCCGGCCUCCGCGGCUCGUGGCCCGCCCGGCGCGCGUGGCCGAGCCGCCCCUCCACCCGGCUGCGGCGUUCGGCGUUCAGAAAGUCGCCAGCCGAGAAGCCGGCCUCGAGGAGCCAGCGCUCGGUUGGGAGGUUUCACCCCUUUUUACCUCCGUGCUCCCCCGCUGACAGCCUCGCAGGUCUGCGCCGGGGCCCGAAGCGGAGAGGAGAACCGGGCACCGCUCAGCAGCCGGCGGGCCGGGGACCUCCUCGCCCCGGGCUCCCCGAGCGCGUUCGGCGCGGCCAGUCUUUUUUCAAAUGCAAUUCCUCAGACUUCAGCUUAUGCAUUAGCGUGAUCGAUUUUCACCUUAAGCCAUUAAAUCAGCUUUAUAGCUUCCCGAGGAACGUGGGCAAGCCCCAACUUAGAAGAUGAAAGAGCAAGCCCUCCCGCCCCGAAGCCCGGGAAGAGGAGCGAGGUGUUGGGUUUGUUGCUUUACGACCCAGGGGGAGGCAUUAAUGGCCGGAAUGUUGUGCCCCUGGAGGAAGGCGGGGUGCCACUCCCUUCCACGCUUCCUAAAGAUGUUGAUUUAACCCUGGUGGUGGGGGGGAACCCGACGUUUUCGGCUUUUGGAAAAGUCGUCACCCCCCUCCCGCACACGUGUGAGUCGUCUUCUCAGGAAAUGACUCCACAUUCGGUGCGAAGCUCAGACCCAGAGAAAUGUGACCAGGGACCCUUGCUCAAGGCCCAUCUGUAUGCCCCUGCCUUGAGUCUGAGCUGUGUCCUCUCCAGACCUGGUUUUCAGUUGAUGCAGUGAAAACCGACACAAGCUUUGGAGCCAGACAAAGAUCACCCAAGAGCUGGAGUGAGGUCGGUGCUAGGAGGCAAGGAGAGCAGAAAGCAGAGAGGAAAGAACCAGAACUCCGACAGUCCUAUUGGCUGCAGCUCUGCCACUUGCAGGGCCUUGGUCAGCUUGUGCUCACUAUUGCAUCCCCAGGGCUGGCCCCUAGGAAGUGCUCAAUGCAUGGUAGCUCUCAAAUGAACCUACUCCUUGGAGGGGGCCUCUCCAGGGGUCCGCCCUUUCCCCUCUGAAUUUCCAU